RNAcentral lists this ribosomal RNA (440 nucleotides) under uncultured bacterium. RNAcentral describes it as "partial 16S ribosomal RNA". It matches the Rfam family "Bacterial small subunit ribosomal RNA", at positions 338 to 795 of the family's 1533-position model. The record is from RNAcentral.
CCUACGGGGGGCAGCAGUAGGGAAUAUUGCUCAAUGGGGGAAACCCUGAAGCAGCAACGCCGCGUGGAGGAUGAAGGUUUUCGGAUUGUAAACUCCUUUUGUUAGAGAAGAUAAUGACGGUAUCUAACGAAUAAGCACCGGCUAACUCCGUGCCAGCAGCCGCGGUAAUACGGAGGGUGCAAGCGUUACUCGGAAUCACUGGGCGUAAAGAGCGCGUAGGCGGGAUAGCAAGUCAGAUGUGAAAUCCUAGGGCUUAACCAUAGAACUGCGUUUGAAACUGUUAUACUAGAGUAUGGGAGAGGUAGGUGGAAUGCUUGGUGUAGGGGUGAAAUCCGUAGAGAUCAAGAGGAAUACCGAUGGCGAAGGCGACCUGCUAGAACAAAACUGACGCUGAUGCGCGAAAGCGUGGGGAGCAAACAGGAUUAGAUACCCGGGUAGUC